CGGACGGGUGAGUAAUGUCUGGGAAACUGCCUGAUGGAGGGGGGUAACUACUGGAAACGGUAGUUAAUACCGCAUAACGUCGCAAGACCAAAGAGGGGGACCUUCGGGCCUCUUGCCAUCGGAUGUGCCCAGAUGGGAUUAGCUAGUAGGUGGGGUAACGGCUCACCUAGGCGACGAUCCCUAGCUGGUCUGAGAGGAUGACCAGCCACACUGGAACUGAGACACGGUCCAG
Molecule: ribosomal RNA, 232 nt
Filed under: uncultured bacterium
Lineage: Bacteria
Description: partial 16S ribosomal RNA
Rfam family: Bacterial small subunit ribosomal RNA
Source: RNAcentral